CCGCACAAGCGGUGGAGCAUGUGGUUAAUUCGACGCAACGCGAAGAACCUUACCAGGGCUUGACAUCCCCUGACCGCGUAUGAGAGUACGUUUUCACCCUCGGGUGACAGGGAGACAGGUGGUGCAUGGUUGUCGUCAGCUCGUGUCGUGAGAUGUUGGGUUAAGUCCCGCAACGAGCGCAACCCCUACGUUUAGUUGCUAACGCGUGAAGGCGAGCACUCUAGACGAACUGCCGUUGACAAAACGGAGGAAGGUGGGAUGACGUCAAAUCAUCAUGCCCCUUAUGUUCUGGGCUACGCACGUGCUACAAUGGCCGGUACAGACGGACGCAAAGCCGCGAGGUGGAGCAAAUCCUAAAAAGCCGGUCUCAGUUCGGAUUGCAGGCUGCAAUUCGCCUGCAUGAAGUCGGAAUCGCUAGUAAUCGCAGGUCAGCAUACUGCGGUGAAUACGUUCCCGGGCCUU
RNAcentral lists this ribosomal RNA (462 nucleotides) under uncultured Pelotomaculum sp. RNAcentral describes it as "bacterial SSU rRNA". It matches the Rfam family "Bacterial small subunit ribosomal RNA", at positions 921 to 1382 of the family's 1533-position model. Lineage: Bacteria; Bacillati; Bacillota; Clostridia; Eubacteriales; Desulfotomaculaceae. The record is from RNAcentral.